Long non-coding RNA from Tupaia belangeri chinensis (Chinese tree shrew), 2143 nucleotides. RefSeq lists it as uncharacterized. Lineage: Eukaryota; Metazoa; Chordata; Mammalia; Scandentia; Tupaiidae. The transcript has 4 exons. The record is from RefSeq and is a predicted model, not a curated record.
GGCCAUAUGGGAAUCCAGUGCCUUAACCUCCACGCCAUCCUCUGGCCCUCCAAAAUUCAAAAUUUUAAAUAAAUAUAGGCCCUGCGCAUGCACGGGCUGGCCUCGCUUCCCUUGCCCUGAUCCUGCCCUAUCACAGGUUUGUGAAAUGGGCCGCAGACAGCCGCAGACCACUGGAUCUACUGGAACCUCGGGAAGGAAGCGCUCCCGGGGACCGACAGAGAGGGACUGGGUACUCGAGAGCUGACACAACCUGCAGCCUCUUCGUCUGACAUCCUUCCCAAGGGGUCAGCGCUUCUGUCCCUGACGUCAGUAACCAAUGGCAAACAGCUGUUCUUCAAACACCCAAAUAUUUACUGAGCAAAUACUGACAUAUUUGGCACAGAGCUGGGAACAGCAAGAAAAAGCUCCACCCCACACCCAUCAGGCUCAGGAGGAUGGUAGAAUGUGCUGGAAUAAACCCCCGACAAGCCUGUUCCUUCGCCUGGCUUAUCCAGUUAGAAAGCCACCAACUCUGGGGGCCCAGGAAGCUGCUUCCAAGGCAGAAACUGUUCUAUCGAGCUCUGCUCAGUCACCAGAGAGAAAGCAGAAUUUUUGUUUUUGAUGCCAGAGGUGAGAGAGAGCGAGCGAAAGCACACCACCACCACGGGGCCUGCUCACACCUCACGCGAGCCCUUCUCCUCCAGUUCUCCUUCCAGUCAGGACUGCAAAUGCCCAGCAUGCCUUUCCAGCCAACGGGGCCCAGAGUCAAACCCUGGUGGGCCAUGUGGGCUUCAGCUCCUCCUGCACGGCACCUAACCACUGUGCCCCAGGGCAGUUCCCGCAUAACGGCAGCACCCCACGCUGAGCAGUGGACGCGGAGGUGCUUCAGGCAACACCAAAGAUCUACAGUCUACAGGUGCACCAGGGCCAGCCGCACCUUUUACCAAGCGACAGUCUUAGAGGGAGACGAGUUCUCAUGACUGCUCAGCUAAGGCCGUUGUGGGCGCCCCUCUUACAGUGGCUAAGGACACGGAAGGCUGGGCAGCCUGGGUGACUGUGGCAGGGAUGGCCACACGGAGCUGAUCUUCCCCAUGGCGGGGGUGCAGCUCUGACUGCAGGGGGACACAGCAGUCACAUGCAUGGAGAAGACUUCAAGUCAGUGAGCAAAUGCUGACUCUGAUGGGGCCUGGGUCAGAGGGUGCUGAACGUCAGUCUAAGGGAUUCAGACUGCACGCUGAAAGGGAAGGGAAGGGAAGAAGGGGCAAAGCCAUUUCCAUGGCAAAUUUGAGGGGGCCUCAUGGCAAGACGGCUGGGGGGUGGAGUGGGGUGGGAGUUGGGGGUACAUGCCCUCCAGCCUCCAUCCCUCAUUGGCUGUUCUUUCCCGGGGGUUUCUCAGUCUCUGGUUCUGGCUGGGUAACCAGGCACAUAGCCGCCGCUCAGGGUAAGAGAGAAAGUGCCUGAGUGGAGCAGAGCCAGACACUCGAAUGUGGGCGCUCCUCCUCCAGCUGAACCGGGCUCUUGGCUGGAGGGUCCUGGGUCUGUAGGAUGCCACCGUCUAUGAAGGUGAAAAUGCAGCAGGUUUCUGAGAGUAUUGCAGGCUGUCGCUUGGUAAAAGGUGCGGCUGGCCCUGGUGCACCUGUAGACUGUGGAUCUUUGGUGUUAUCUGAAGCACCUAGUGGGGAGGGAAAUCCCAGGAAGUGUCCAUAACUUUCAUAGGAUUCUCAGGUGAGUCCAUGACCAGAUAAAGAACCCCUGCCGACAGUGCAGGGAAACUACUGAGGAAAUGAUAAUGGAAUGAGGGUGAGAACAAGUGCCAGUUCCCGUCCGUGUGUUUUGCAUGCGUCGUUCCUAACCCUCGCAGCAAACCUGCAGGAAAUGCCAACCUUUCUGCAACCCGCAGCUUCUGCACACAAGCCCAGACCCGAAUACGCUGGACAGCGUCGCAGUAAGGUCCCGAACUCCGUCCCUACCCUCCUGCGGGCCGACGGGUGCCAACACACCCAGGACUUCAACUUCUUUAGCCUUCAAUCCAGGCUAACGAAAUCUGCCUGUGACGAGAGGCGCACCAGGUCGGGGCCUGGCAUACCGAGGCGCUCAAGGGCGCCCACAGGAGUGGUCUAGAGGGCUUCCAAACUUCCUUCUCAGGGUUCUCUCCCCGCCACCC